This 253-nucleotide ribosomal RNA is filed under the name uncultured bacterium. RNAcentral describes it as "partial 16S ribosomal RNA". It matches the Rfam family "Bacterial small subunit ribosomal RNA", at positions 524 to 776 of the family's 1533-position model. The record is from RNAcentral.
UACAGAGGUCCCAAGCGUUGUUCGGAUUCACUGGGCGUAAAGGGUGCGCAGGCGGCCAAGUGUGUGAGGCGUGAAAGCCCGGGGCUUAACCCCGGAAUUGCACCUCAAACUACAUGGCUAGAGCAUUGGAGAGGGUAGCAGAAUUCAUGGUGUAGCAGUGAAAUGCGUAGAUAUCAUGAGGAAUACCAGAGGCGAAGGCGGCUACCUGGACAAUUGCUGACGCUCAGGCACGAAAGCGUGGGGAGCAAAAGGG